This 414-nucleotide ribosomal RNA is filed under the name uncultured microorganism. Its description in RNAcentral is "bacterial SSU rRNA". It matches the Rfam family "Archaeal small subunit ribosomal RNA", at positions 459 to 872 of the family's 1478-position model. The record is from RNAcentral.
CAGCCGCCGCGGUAAUACCGGCGGCCCGAGUGGCGGCCACUAUUAUUGGGCCUAAAGCGUCCGUAGCCGGGCUGGUAAGUCCCCCGGGAAAUCUGGCGGCUUAACCGUCAGAAUUCCGGGGGAUACUGCCAGCCUAGGGACCGGGAGAGGCCGGGGGAAUUCCCGGGGUAGGGGUGAAAUCCUAUAAUCCCGGGAGGACCACCUGUGGCGAAGGCGCCCGGCUGGAACGGGUCCGACGGUGAGGGACGAAGGCCAGGGGAGCGAACCGGAUUAGAUACCCGGGUAGUCCUGGCUGUAAAGGAUGCGGGCUAGGUGUCGGGUGAGCUUCGGGCUCGCCCGGUGCCGUAGGGAAGCCGUUAAGCCCGCCGCCUGGGGAGUACGGCCGCAAGGCUGAAACUUAAAGGAAUUGGCGGG